RNAcentral lists this long non-coding RNA (213 nucleotides) under Elaeis guineensis (African oil palm). RNAcentral describes it as "long non-coding RNA (EGUI_LNC000274)". Lineage: Eukaryota; Viridiplantae; Streptophyta; Magnoliopsida; Arecales; Arecaceae. The record is from RNAcentral.
AUCCAAGAGCCCUGCUCCUUCUCUCGCAGCAGCCUCACGCCUCUCUCUCCUUCUCUUCUCGGGUUCCGCACGGCUUCCUCUGCAAAAAACUAAUCACCGCAGUUCUCUGUUGAGGCACAGGCUUUUUAAAGGCCUUAAACAAGAGUUUAACCUAAUUAGAUUAGGUUUAGGUCUCCUAAACAAGCUAAAUUAAGCUUCUGAACCAUCGGAUCA